Molecule: ribosomal RNA, 519 nt
Filed under: uncultured eukaryote
Lineage: Eukaryota
Description: SSU rRNA
Rfam family: Eukaryotic small subunit ribosomal RNA
Source: RNAcentral
AGGGCACCACCAGGAGUGGAGCCUGCGGCUUAAUUUGACUCAACACGGGAAAACUUACCUGGUCCUGACACUAGAAGGAUUGACAGAUUGAUAGCUCUUUCUUGAUUUGGUGGAUGGUGGUGCAUGGCCGUUCUUAGUUGGUGGAGUGAUUUGUCUGGUUAAUUCCGAUAACGAACGAGACUCUAGCCUAUUAAAUAACACACAGAAUCUUGUCUUCUGUGGCGUUUCUUAAUGGGAUCAAGUGUGUUUAACGCUUUGAAACAGAGCAAUAACGGGUCUGUGAUGCCCUUAGAUGUUCGGGGCCGCACGCGCGCUACAUUGAGAGACAAAAUGAGUUUUCUAGUCUUUAAUAAGGCUAGUAAUCUUUGUAUGUUUUUCUUAAUGGGGAUAGGGGAUUGCAAUUGUGCCCCUUGAACGAGGAGUUCCCAGUAAGUGCUAGUCAUUAGCUAGUACUGAUUACGUCCCUGCCCUUUGUACACACCGCCCGUCGCUACUACCGAUUGAAUGGUUUAGUGAGAU